AGGCUGAAACUCGCCUAUAUGAAGUCGGAAUUGCUAGUAAUCGCGGAUCAGCAUGCCGCGGUGAAUACGUUCCCGGGCCUUGUACACACCGCCCGCCACACCAUGAGAGUCGAUAACACCCGAAGCCUGUAGUCUAACCAUAUGGGGGACGCAGUCGAAGGUGGGAUUGAUAAUUAGGGUGAAGUCGUAACAAGGUAAC
Molecule: ribosomal RNA, 199 nt
Filed under: uncultured bacterium
Lineage: Bacteria
Description: partial 16S ribosomal RNA
Rfam family: Bacterial small subunit ribosomal RNA
Source: RNAcentral